RNAcentral lists this non-coding RNA (190 nucleotides) under uncultured Megasphaera sp. Its description in RNAcentral is "raiA RNA". It matches the Rfam family "raiA RNA". Lineage: Bacteria; Bacillati; Bacillota; Negativicutes; Veillonellales; Veillonellaceae. The record is from RNAcentral.
CUGUGGUUGCAAGUCCAAGCCAGUCGCAGGCAAAGGGAUCCACGUAAGGCACCCAAAGCGGUGCUGAUCAUAGUGCGGCCUAGACGUAAGACCUGCCGCAAAAAGCGAGAGAAGUAGUAGUGGGGGAUGCAGACCAUCUAAGAGCGAACCUUCCAGCAGGCGAGUGUGGGGGUAAAAACCAGGUCAGGCA